This 426-nucleotide ribosomal RNA is filed under the name uncultured prokaryote. RNAcentral's name for it is "bacterial SSU rRNA". It matches the Rfam family "Bacterial small subunit ribosomal RNA", at positions 355 to 774 of the family's 1533-position model. The record is from RNAcentral.
UCGAGAAUUUUUCACAAUGGGCGAAAGCCUGAUGGAGCGACGCCGCGUGGGGGAUGAAUGGCUUCGGCCCGUAAACCCCUGUCAUUUGCGAUCAAACCUCACAACUUAAUACGUCGUGAGUUGAUAGUAGCAAAAGAGGAAGGGACGGCUAACUCUGUGCCAGCAGCCGCGGUAAUACAGAGGUCCCAAGCGUUGUUCGGAUUCACUGGGCGUAAAGGGUGCGUAGGCGGUCGGGUAAGUCUGACGUGAAAUCCUGGAGCUUAACUCCGGAACUGCGUCGGAAACUAUUCGGCUAGAGGAUUGGAAGGGGGACUGGAAUUCUCGGUGUAGCAGUGAAAUGCGUAGAUAUCGAGAGGAACACCCGUGGCGAAGGCGAGUCCCUGGACAAUUCCUGACGCUGAGGCACGAAAGCUAGGGGAGCAAACA